GAACUGAAGAGUUUGAUCCUGGCUCAGAUUGAACGCUGGCGGCAUGCCUUACACAUGCAAGUCGAACGGUAACGCGGGGCAACCUGGCGACGAGUGGCGAACGGGUGAGUAAUACAUCGGAACGUGCCCAGUA
RNAcentral lists this ribosomal RNA (133 nucleotides) under Rubrivivax sp. RNAcentral's name for it is "partial 16S ribosomal RNA". It matches the Rfam family "Bacterial small subunit ribosomal RNA", at positions 1 to 135 of the family's 1533-position model. The record is from RNAcentral. Lineage: Bacteria; Pseudomonadati; Pseudomonadota; Betaproteobacteria; Burkholderiales; Sphaerotilaceae.